Molecule: ribosomal RNA, 468 nt
Filed under: uncultured bacterium
Lineage: Bacteria
Description: partial 16S ribosomal RNA
Rfam family: Bacterial small subunit ribosomal RNA
Source: RNAcentral
GACGAACGCUGGCGGCGUGCUUAACACAUGCAAGUCGAACGGAAAGGCCCUGCUUUUGUGGGGUGCUCGAGUGGCGAACUGGUGAGUAACACGUGAGUAACCUGCCCUUGACUUUGGGAUAACUUCAUGAAACUUGGGCUAAUACCGGAUAGGAGCUCCUGCUGCAUGGUGGGGGUUGGAAAGUUUCGGCGGUUGGGGAUGGACUCGCGGCUUAUCAGCUUGUUGGUGGGGUAGUGGCUUACCAAGGCUUUGACGGGUAGCCGGCCUGAGAGGGUGACCGGACACAUUGGGACUGAGAUAAGGCCCAGACUACUACGGGAGGCAGCAGUGGAGAAUAUUGCACAAUGGGCGGAAGCCUGAUGCAGCAACGCCGCGUGCGGGAUGACGGCCUUCGGGUUGUAAACCGCUUUCGCCUGUGACGAAGCGUGAGUGACGGUAAUGGGUAAAGAAGCACCGGCUAACUACGUG